CUUGCAGCUAUAAAAAUGUUUCAGAGUUUUAGUGUCAUUCGCCAUUUCAAUGCGAAUAGAACUGUCAUCUCUGUUUAACGCAAAAUGGCUGAUUUGACUGCGUACGAAGAAGUAUUUCAUUAUCUUCGCGACAACGAGUACCCCAAUUCUUACAACAAAGACCAGAAGAGGAACUUGCGGAAAAGAUCCCAAAAGUUUGUCCUGGAGGAUGGUGUGCUGUUUUAUAAAGGAUUGGAUAACUCUGAGCCACGACGGUGGGUGCCUAACGUUGACGAGCAAAAGAAAAUUUUAACUGCAUGUCACUCCGACAAACAGCCACGGUUUUCGUGAUCACAACGAAUCAUGAGACUCUCCAAAAAUUCCGUCAAAAUUCUCGGUGGUUUGGUUAAGGUUUCUUCUGUCAGAUGGCGUUGACACAUAGGGCAAGUUUCUGAGUUUUCGUGCAAACACUUUUGAAUACACGAGCGGCAGAAGUAGUGUUCAUUCGGGCAUUGUACUGGAUCCUUUAAGACCUUGAGACAAAUCGAGCACUGCAGUUUAAUGUCCACUUUGUUCUCGACUUUGUUU
Non-coding RNA from Paramuricea clavata, 567 nucleotides. NCBI's taxonomy places the organism in Eukaryota, Metazoa, Cnidaria, Anthozoa, Malacalcyonacea, Plexauridae. The record is from the annotation of a GenBank genome assembly.